GCCCGCUACAGAAACUACAAAGGAAUUGACGGGGCCCGCACAAGCGGUGGAGUAUGUGGUUUAAUUCGAUGCAACGCGAAGAACCUUACCUGGUCUUGACAUCCCGGAGACCCUUAGGAAACUAGGGGGUGCUUCCAUCUGGAAGAAUCUGGAGACAGGUGCUGCAUGGCUGUCGUCAGCUCGUGUCGUGAGAUGUUGGGUUAAGUCCCGCAACGAGCGCAACCCUUGCCUUUAGUUGCCAGCAGUUCGGCUGGGCACUCUAAAGGGACUGCCGGUGUUAAACCGGAGGAAGGUGGGGAUGACGUCAAGUCCUCAUGGCCUUUAUGACCAGGGCUACACACGUACUACAAUGGCCGAUACAAAGGGCAGCGACACUGCGAGGUGAAGCCAAUCCCGUAAAAUCGGUCUCAGUCCGGAUUGGAGUCUGCAACUCGACUCCAUGAAGUUGGAAUCGCUAGUAAUCGUGGAUCAGCAUGCCACGGUGAAUACGUUCCCGGGCCUU
RNAcentral lists this ribosomal RNA (502 nucleotides) under uncultured Desulfobulbus sp. Its description in RNAcentral is "bacterial SSU rRNA". It matches the Rfam family "Bacterial small subunit ribosomal RNA", at positions 903 to 1382 of the family's 1533-position model. Lineage: Bacteria; Pseudomonadati; Thermodesulfobacteriota; Desulfobulbia; Desulfobulbales; Desulfobulbaceae. The record is from RNAcentral.